AGCAGCAGCCACGGUAAUACGAAGGGUGCAAGCGUUAAUCGGAUUUACUGGGCGUAAAGGGCGUGUAGGCGGCCUGGGGCGUCCCAUGUGAAAGGCCACGGCUCAACCGUGGAGGAGCGUGGGAUACGCUCAGGCUAGAGGGUGGGAGAGGGUGGUGGAAUUCCCGGAGUAGCGGUGAAAUGCGCAGAUACCGGGAGGAACGCCGAUGGCGAAGGCAGCCACCUGGUCCACUUCUGACGCUGAGGCGCGAAAGCGUGGGGAGCAAACCGGAUUAGAUACCCGCGUAGUCCCUGUCUCUUAUAC
This 303-nucleotide ribosomal RNA is filed under the name uncultured bacterium. RNAcentral's name for it is "partial 16S ribosomal RNA". It matches the Rfam family "Bacterial small subunit ribosomal RNA", at positions 507 to 807 of the family's 1533-position model. The record is from RNAcentral.